GCCUGGUUUCAGAGAGGUGUA
RNAcentral lists this microRNA (21 nucleotides) under Drosophila simulans. RNAcentral describes it as "dsi-miR-992-5p". Its record names the gene dsi-miR-992-5p. The record is from miRBase by way of RNAcentral. Lineage: Eukaryota; Metazoa; Arthropoda; Insecta; Diptera; Drosophilidae.